AUACGUAGGGGGCGAGCGUUGUCCGGAAUGAUUGGGCGUAAAGGGCGCGUAGGCGGCCCGGUAAGUCUGGAGUGAAAGUCCUGCUUUCAAGGUGGGAAUUGCUUUGGAUACUGCCGCGCUUGAGUGCAGGAGAGGUUAUCGGAAUUCCCGGUGUAGCGGUGAAAUGCGUAGAGAUCGGGAGGAACACCAGUGGCGAAGGCGGGUAACUGGACUGCAACUGACGCUGAGGCGCGAAAGUGUGGGGAGCAAACAGGAUUAGAUACCCUGGUAGUCCACACUGUAAACGAUGAAUGCUAGGUGUAAGAGGUAUCGACCCCUUUUGUGCCGGAGUCAACACAAUAAGCAUUCCGCCUGGGGAGUACGGCCGCAAGGUUGAAACUCAAAUGAAUUGACGGGG
Molecule: ribosomal RNA, 397 nt
Filed under: uncultured bacterium
Lineage: Bacteria
Description: partial 16S ribosomal RNA
Rfam family: Bacterial small subunit ribosomal RNA
Source: RNAcentral